This is a long non-coding RNA of Nymphaea colorata (pocket water lily), 1913 nucleotides long. RefSeq lists it as uncharacterized. The record is from RefSeq and is a predicted model, not a curated record. The transcript has 4 exons. Lineage: Eukaryota; Viridiplantae; Streptophyta; Magnoliopsida; Nymphaeales; Nymphaeaceae.
UCUAAUCUUGUUUUUGAAGAAGUUUUAUCAAUUUACCAUCAUUUGCAUACGCAUCGUGGAACAUAUAAAAGCAUUGACAUACAAAAUGCAAGAAAAAUUUGACAAGUACUUUAAGAGCUACAAUAUUCUCUUUGCAAUUGCAGUUGUUUUUUAUCCUUCGGUCAAGUUGUUACUUGAAGUAUUUGCUUGACGAUUUGGACAAUCCUUAUGCAAUGGUAAAAUAUGAAGUUAUAGAGAACAUCCUUCAUGAAUUGUAUGCCGAAAAAUAUAUAUGAUAAUAGUGACACAAUUAAUAUGCGAAGGGGCAAUGCAUCCACUAGUACCAUGAUUGCAAUGGAAGAGUUUAGAAGUGUUGCUAGAUAUGAGUUCAAAAUAUACUUAAGCUCUGUAUUUCCUAUAGUGGCUCACACAGAUCUAGACAAAUAUUUGAUUGAUCCAACAGAAGAAAUUGCACCUAGACAAAUAUUUGAUUGAUCCAACAGAAGAAAUUGCACCUACUGCACAGUUUAACAUAUUAUCUUGGUGGAAGACAAAUGAAAGCAAAGAAAAAAUUGUAGCAAAGAUGGCUCGAGUUGUAUUAGUCAUUCUUGUAUCUACAGUUGCUUCAGAAUCUACAUCAGUAUAUCAGGAAGAAUUCUUAAUGAUUAUCGAUGCUCAACUACUCCUGAAAAUAUUUAAUCAUUAAUCUACACACAGAGUUUGAUUUGUGAUGCACACAACUUGUGUGAAAUAUAAGAUGUUCGUAGUUCAAUCUAAUUUACUUUGCAUAUUAACACAUCAGUUUGCUUAAAUUAAUCAAACUACCUUGUUUGUAUCGUAAUAAAAACUUCAGCACGUGAAGGCUCUGGUGCAUCCUCUAGAAUUUGUAUAAAUUAAAAAUAUAAUCAAUAAUAGAUAUAUAAGUGAAUAAUAACAAGAUGUUUUUGAUUAGUGAAAUUACGUUGUCUACUCAAAAUCGAGCAAAACUUUUUGAGCCAAUAGUGUGAGGGAACAUCGACAUUUCACGGUUUGCUUUAUUUUUUGCACUGUGCUCCUACAAGAUUAUCAAAUAUUAAAACUUGAUGAAAUUAAAACCAAGCACAAAUAAAAUUGUAUCUUAUCUAUUUGCAAACCUUUGAUUGCCUACUUUCAAAAUGUCAGAUCAAGCACCUCCAUUGAUCAUAUGGGAUCAUCACCUUGCAAUGUGUAACGCUCGGCUUUUGCAGGACGGAUCGGGUCAGGGUCCAGACCCGAACCCGAACUCCUCGUGCGACAGGAGCCCGACACCGCCCUCUUCUCCCUCGUUUUUCCUUCUCCCUCACCUUUCCCUUGUCUAUCUCCUGGAGGUCUCUCGUGCCAGCGCAGAGAAGAAGAAGAAGAAGGAGGUGGUGCAGCGGUGACGAUGACGACGGCGGCGGCGGCGGCAGCUCUUGGCUUGGAGACGCAUCUUUCCCCUCAUAGCAAUGAGGUGAAUGCAUUGGUGGUGGCGGCAUUGAGGGAUUCUAGCCGUUUGGGGGCCUUUCGAACUCGUGGGGUGGUUGUCGAGAGGAUUGCAGCAGUUUAGAUUCUUGAUUUGGGGUACACCGGGCACGUCCCAUAGACCUUGAGCGACCAGAUUCGAAGCUCGAGGCAUUUUGGAGAGUUUUGUGGACGCGUGACAGAUAUAUCAGUGAGAUCUUCCUAUGGCAAGGUAGCUCUGGGUAGAAGGUCUGUGCUGACUGAAGUUUCAUUGCUUGGUUGUGUUGCUUGAAACAAGAGGGAUCUUUGAACAAGAGCACAAGUUUCAUUGUUUGGUUAUGAUGAUUAAAUUAGCCUAUUCUGAACCAGCUAGUUGAUGCUUCUUUUGGCACAUUGUGAAGAAAAUUGUAAAGAACUGUUUUCGUAUUGUUUUAUCUAAUAAAAAUGCAUCUAACAAAAAUGUAUUUGCAAUAAAA